GAUGAACGCUGGCGGCGUGCCUAAUACAUGCCAGUCGAGCGAACAGACGAGGAGCUUGCUCCUCUGACGUUAGCGGCGGACGGGUGAGUAACACGUGGAUAACCUACCUAUAAGACUGGGAUAACUUCGGGAAACCGGAGCUAAUACCGGAUAAUAUAUUGAACCGCAUGGUUCAAUAGUGAAAGACGGUUUUGCUGUCACUUAUAGAUGGAUCCGCGCCGCAUUAGCUAGUUGGUAAGGUAACGGCUUACCAAGGCAACGAUGCGUAGCCGACCUGAGAGGGUGAUCGGCCACACUGGAACUGAGACACGGUCCAGACUCCUACGGGAGGCAGCAGUAGGGAAUCUUCCGCAAUGGGCGAAAGCUUGACGGAGCAACGCCGCGUGAGUGAUAAAGGUCUUCGGAUCGUAAAACUCUGUUAUUAGGGAAGAACAAAUGUGUAAGUAACUAUGCACGUCUUGACGGUACCUAAUCAGAAAGCCACGGCUAACUACGUG
RNAcentral lists this ribosomal RNA (497 nucleotides) under uncultured bacterium. Its description in RNAcentral is "partial 16S ribosomal RNA". It matches the Rfam family "Bacterial small subunit ribosomal RNA", at positions 28 to 507 of the family's 1533-position model. The record is from RNAcentral.